CGGAGGGGUGCAAAGCGUUAAAUCGGAAUUACUGGGCGUAAAAGCGCACGCAGGCGGUCUGUUAAGUCAGAUGUGAAAAUCCCCCGGGCUUAAACCUGGGGAACUGCAUUUUGAAAACUGGCAGGCUUGAGUCUUGUAGAGGGGGGUAGAAUUCCAGGUGUAGCGGUGAAAAUGCGUAGAGAUCUGGAGGAAUACCGGUGGCGAAGGCGGCCCCUGGACAAAAGACUGACGCUCAGGUGCGAAAAGCGUGGGGGAGCAAAACAGGAUU
This 268-nucleotide ribosomal RNA is filed under the name uncultured bacterium. RNAcentral's name for it is "partial 16S ribosomal RNA". It matches the Rfam family "Bacterial small subunit ribosomal RNA", at positions 526 to 779 of the family's 1533-position model. The record is from RNAcentral.